AUCCAGACUCCUACGGGAGGCAGCAGUGGGGGAUAUUGCACAAUGGGGGGAACCCUGAUGCAGCGACGCCGCGUGGGUGAAGAAGCGCCUCGGCGCGUAAAGCCCUGUCAGCAGGGAAGAAAAUGACGGUACCUGAAGAAGAAGCCCCGGCUAACUACGUGCCAGCAGCCGCGGUAAUACGUAGGGGGCAAGCGUUAUCCGGAUUUACUGGGUGUAAAGGGGGCGCAGACGGCGAUGCAAGCCAGGAGUGAAAGCCCGGGGCCCAACCCCGGGACUGCAUUUGGAACUGUGUGGCUGGAGUGUCGGAGAGGCAGGCGGAAUUCCUAGUGUAGCGGUGAAAUGCGUAGAUAUUAGGAGGAACACCAGUGGCGAAGGCGGCCUGCUGGACGAUGACUGACGUUGAGGCUCGAAAGCGUGGGGAGCAAACAGGAUUAGAUACCCUAGUAG
This 447-nucleotide ribosomal RNA is filed under the name uncultured bacterium. Its description in RNAcentral is "bacterial SSU rRNA". It matches the Rfam family "Bacterial small subunit ribosomal RNA", at positions 329 to 793 of the family's 1533-position model. The record is from RNAcentral.